GACGAACGCUGGCGGCGUGCUUAACACAUGCAAGUCGAACGGAAAGGCCCUGCUUUUGUGGGGUGCUCGAGUGGCGAACGGGUGAGUAACACGUGAGUAACCUGCCCUUGACUUUGGGAUAACUUCAGGAAACUGGGGCUAAUACCGGAUAGGAGCUCCUGCUGCAUGGUGGGGGUUGGAAAGUUUCGGCGGUUGGGGAUGGACUCGCGGCUUAUCAGCUUGUUGGUGGGGUAGUGGCUUACCAAGGCUUUGACGGGUAGCCGGCCUGAGAGGGUGACCGGCGACAUUGGGACUGAGAGAGGGCCAAGGCGCCGACGGGAGGCAGAGGUGGGGAACAUUGCGCAAUGGGCGGAAUCCUGAUGCAGCAACGCCGGGGGCGGGAUGACGGCCUACGGGUUGUAAACCGCUUUGGCCUGUGACGAAGCGUGAGUGACGGUAAUGCGUAAAGAAGCACCGGCUAACUACGUG
Molecule: ribosomal RNA, 468 nt
Filed under: uncultured bacterium
Lineage: Bacteria
Description: partial 16S ribosomal RNA
Rfam family: Bacterial small subunit ribosomal RNA
Source: RNAcentral